UGCCGAUCGGUUGAGUAAUGUAUCCGAACGUGCCCAGUAGCGGGGGAUAACUACGCGAAAGCGUACCUAAUACCGCAUACGCCCUACGGGGGAAAGCAGGGGAUCGCAAGACCUUGCACUAUUGGAGCGGCCGAUAUCGGAUUAGCUAGUUGGUGGGGUAACGGCUCACCAAGGCGACGAUCCGUAGCUGGUUUGAGAGGACGACCAGCCACACUGGGACUGAGACACGGCCCAGACUCCUACGGGAGGCAGCAGUGGGGAAUUUUGGACAAUGGGGGAAACCCUGAUCCAGCCAUCCCGCGUGUGCGAUGAAGGCCUUCGGGUUGUAAAGCACUUUUGGCAGGAAAGAAACGUCGCGGGUUAAUACCCCGCGAAACUGAUUUUUAUCUGCAGAAUAAGCACCGGCUAACUACGUGCCAGCAGCCGCGGUAAUACGUAGGGUGCAAGCGUUAAUCGGAAUUACUGGGCGUAAAGCGUGCGCAGGCGGUUCGGAAAGAAAGAUGUGAAAUCCCAGAGCUUAACUUUGGAACUGCAUUUUUAACUACCGGGCUAGAGUGUGUCAGAGGGAGGUGGAAUUCCGCGUGUAGCAGUGAAAUGCGUAGAUAUGCGGAGGAACACCGAUGGCGAAGGCAGCCUCCUGGGAUAACACUGACGCUCAUGCACGAAAGCGUGGGGGAGCAAACAGGAUUAGAUACCCUGGGUAGUCCACGCCCU
Molecule: ribosomal RNA, 714 nt
Filed under: Achromobacter insolitus
Lineage: Bacteria; Pseudomonadati; Pseudomonadota; Betaproteobacteria; Burkholderiales; Alcaligenaceae
Description: bacterial SSU rRNA
Rfam family: Bacterial small subunit ribosomal RNA
Source: RNAcentral